This 481-nucleotide ribosomal RNA is filed under the name uncultured organism. RNAcentral's name for it is "partial 16S ribosomal RNA". It matches the Rfam family "Bacterial small subunit ribosomal RNA", at positions 329 to 801 of the family's 1533-position model. The record is from RNAcentral.
ACGUACACUCCUGCGGGAGGCAGCAGUGGGGAAUUUUGGACAAUGGGCGCAAGCCUGAUCCAGCCAUGCCGCGUGCGGGAAGAAGGCCUUCGGGUUGUAAACCGCUUUUGUCAGGGAAGAAAAGGUUCUGGCUAAUACCUGGGACUCAUGACGGUACCUGAAGAAUAAGCACCGGCUAACUACGUGCCAGCAGCCGCGGUAAUACGUAGGGUGCAAGCGUUAAUCGGAAUUACUGGGCGUAAAGCGUGCGCAGGCGGUUAUGCAAGACAGAGGUGAAAUCCCCGGGCUCAACCUGGGAACUGCCUUUGUGACUGCAUGGCUAGAGUACGGUAGAGGGGGAUGGAAUUCCGCGUGUAGCAGUGAAAUGCGUAGAUAUGCGGAGGAACACCGAUGGCGAAGGCAAUCCCCUGGACCUGUACUGACGCUCAUGCACGAAAGCGUGGGGAGCAAACAGGAUUAGAUACCCCUGUAGUCCCAUGAU